RNAcentral lists this unclassified non-coding RNA (391 nucleotides) under soil metagenome. RNAcentral's name for it is "partial contains 5.8S ribosomal RNA, internal transcribed spacer 2, and large subunit ribosomal RNA". The stretch from base 1 to 122 matches the Rfam family "5.8S ribosomal RNA", at positions 35 to 154 of the family's 154-position model. The record is from RNAcentral.
GAUGAAGAACGUAGCGAAAUGCGAUACUUGGUGUGAAUUGCAGAAUCCCGUGAACCAUCGAGUCUUUGAACGCAAGUUGCGCCCGAAGCCAUUAGGCCGAGGGCACGCCUGCCUGGGCGUCACACGUCGUUGCCCCCCCAUCUACUCCUUCGGGAUUGCGGGGGGCGGAUGAUGGCCUCUCGUGCGCCUCGUCGCGCGGUUGGCCUAAAUGCCAAGUCCUCGGCGACGCACGCCACGACAAUCGGUGGUUGCGAAACCUCGGUUGCCUGUCGUGUGCGGUCGUCGCGCAUCGAGGGCUCGAAAAAAUUGCCGGGCUUCGGCUCGACUUUCAACGCGACCCCAGGACAGGCGGGGUUACCCGCUGAAUUUAAGCAUAUCAAUAAGCGGAGGA